RNAcentral lists this ribosomal RNA (324 nucleotides) under uncultured eukaryote. RNAcentral's name for it is "partial 18S ribosomal RNA". It matches the Rfam family "Eukaryotic small subunit ribosomal RNA", at positions 1470 to 1796 of the family's 1831-position model. The record is from RNAcentral.
CCCUUAGAUGUCCUGGGCCGCACGCGCGCUACACUGACGCAUUCAACGAGUUUCUUCCUGGUCCGAGAGGAAUGGGUAACCUUUUGAAAGUGCAUCGUGAUAGGGAUAGACUAUUGCAAUUAUUGGUCUUCAACGAGGAAUUCCUAGUAGACGUAGUUCAUCAGACUGCAUCGAUUACGUCCCUGCCCUUUGUACACACCGCCCGUCGCUCCUACCGAUUGAAUGCUCAGGUGAGCCAUUCGGACUUUCAUCAUGCUGGUUUCCAGUUUUGAUGAAGGAAAGUCUUGCGAACCUUAUCAUUUAGAGGAAGGAGAAGUCGUAACA